AUGGCCGCCCUGACGACGGUCGUGGUGGCGGCGGCGGCCACCGCCGUAGCCGGGGCUGUGGCGGGGGCGGGCGCGGCCCCGGGAACCGGCGUGGGAGCCGCGGUGCCGCAACAGAAUGAUGGCUGUCUCGGUACUUCAGGUGGAAUUCGUCCUUUUCACCUUCAAAACUGGAAGCAGAAAGUUAGUCGAACUAAGAAAGCAGAAUUCAUACGUACAGCUGAAAAAUAUAAAAAUCAGGUUAUUAAUCUAGAAAAAGACAAACACAGUCAUUUCUACAACCAAAAAAGUGACUUCAGAAUUGAACAUAGUAUGCUGGAAGAAUUGGAAAAUAAACUGAUUAACAGCAGGAAAACAGAAAGAGCAAAAAUCCAGCAACAAUUGGCCAAAAUAUACAACAAUGUAAAGAAACUUCAGCAUCAGUUAAAAGAUGCCAAGCCUACACCUGAUUUUGUUGAAAAGCUCAGAGAAAUGAUGGAGGAAAUUGAAAAUGCAAUUAACACUUUUAAGGAAGAGCAGAGGUUGAUAUAUGAAGAGCUUAUUAAAGAAGAGAAAACAACUAAUAAUGAGUUGAAUGCCAUAUCAAGAAAAAUUGACACAUGGGCUUUGGGUAAUUCAGAAACAGAGAAGGCUUUCAGAGCAGCAUUGAGCAAAGUUCCUGUGGACAAAGUCACACCAAGUGCUCUUCCAGAAGAAGUGGUAGAGUUUGAAACGUUCCUUCAGGAGACGGGAGGGCGCCAGGGGGGCUGGGAUGAUUAUGACCACCAGAACUUUGUGAAGAUGAGAAGCAAGCAUAAAGGGAAGCCAGUGUUCAUGGGAGAAGUUCUGGAGCACCUUCCCGGAAGAACGCAGGAUGAAGUUCAACAGCAUGAGAAAUGGUAUCAAAAAUUUCUGGCCCUGGAAGAAAGAAAAAAAGAGUCUAUUCAGCAUUGGAAAACCAAAAAGCAACAAAAAAAGGAGGAAAUUUUCAAAUUAAAGGAAAAAGACAGCAUACAAGUACUUUCUCAUAGUAAACAGGAAGAUAAUCAAAAACAAAAAGAAGAACAAAGAAAGAAGCAAAAAUUGGCCAUUGAAGCUUGGAAAAAACAGAGAAGUAUAGAAAUGUCAAUGAAAAACGCUUCCCAGUUAAAAGAGGAAGAAGAGAAAGAGAAAAAGCAGCAGAGAGAGCGUCAGCGCCAGUGUAAACUGAAAUUGCUGCUGGAAACGUACACCCAACAGAAGAAAGAACAGGAAGAAUUUUUGAGACUUGAAAAGGAGAUACGGGAAAAGACAGAAAAGGCAGAAAAAAGGAAAACUGCUGCUGAUGAAAUUUCCAGGUUUCAAGAAAGAGAUUUACAUAAACUUGAAUUGAAAAUUCUGAAUAGACAAUUAAAGGAAGAUGAGAAGGCAGAAAAACAAAGAAAACUGGCAAAAUUAAAAGAAAAGGUUGAAAACAAUGUUAGUAGAGAUCCCUCUAGACUUUACAAACCUACCAAAGGUUGGGAAGAACGGACCAAAAAGAUAGGACCAACAGGCUCUGGGCCACUUCUACAUAUCCCACAUAGGGCUAUUCCAACCUGGAGACAAGGAGUUAAAAUAUGG
RNAcentral lists this long non-coding RNA (1578 nucleotides) under Bos grunniens (domestic yak). RNAcentral describes it as "lncRNA (ENSBGRG00000013435.1)". The record is from RNAcentral. Lineage: Eukaryota; Metazoa; Chordata; Mammalia; Artiodactyla; Bovidae.